This is a long non-coding RNA of Capsicum annuum, 5036 nucleotides long. RefSeq lists it as uncharacterized. The transcript has 4 exons. NCBI's taxonomy places the organism in Eukaryota, Viridiplantae, Streptophyta, Magnoliopsida, Solanales, Solanaceae. The record is from RefSeq and is a predicted model, not a curated record.
AAUUAAAAAACUAAAACUCUCGAUCUCCUCGCUUAAACAUAUAGAAGAUUUCUUCUCUCUACAAUUAACGAAUUAAAUUGGCCCUAAUUUGCAUCUCUCAAUUUGCUCUUCUCACUGUUGUGUGCUAAUUCUCUCCUCACUAUAUGAAAUUCGCUGUGACGUGCGCAAACUUGAUACUCAAUUCCCUUCGGGAGAGGAUCUAGACUUUGUUUAUGAUAGCAUUUUAGCCUUCUCAACAAGAAGAGAAAACCAAGAGACGGUUUUCGGAAGCGAAGAAGGAUUGAAGGAUAUAAGAUUAAGGGAAUUAGCAGACACUUUAGAAAGAGUUAUCUAUGAUUUCACACCUCAGAUCGAGUAGCCGGCGCCGGCAAAGGUAAGUUACCCUCUUUGCCUUCCUCCCUCUCCCUCUCUCUCUUUCUCCCUUUCUCUACAGCUCUUUUGAGCUACCCCUCUCCCUUCCUCCCCCUUCUUUGCUUUUUAGUGGCGGAUAUCACUGGCGGGACUAGGAUCGGCUCCGACGGCGGUCACCAAAACACAGAUCCGGUAAAGCACAGUAGACGCUCCAGUGACGGCAACAUCUGAUGAUAUUCUGGUGACAGCUUUUUGGCAAUGUUGUUUUCACCAACCAACUCUGCCAAGAAAAUUGACGGUACCAUAAGCACCCAGGAUUACCCCGGUGACAUCUAAACUUUGAUAUUUAGAAAUUUGCACUAGUUAAUAUUUUUACCAUUUCAUUUGUACUGUUUUGUUUCCUGUGAGUAUACUUAUGACUGCCUACUGUUUCCCUAUUGCUUUCACACUGCUUUUCUAUUUUCAUGCUUUCCUAUUAUUGCCUUAUUUUGUUGUCUUUCGGUCUAUUGGUUUGAGGCUCUGUUUGGACUUGGUUUCAGUUCUUAAGUGGUGGCUGGAGGGGUUGAUGGUGGAAUAUGGUCAUGUCUGAGGGGUAAAGAGGGGAGGGCAGGGGUAUGUGUGUGGUCUAUGUCGAGUGUUAGGGCUGGUGCAGUGAGGGGUGGUAGAGGGAGGCGAGAGGUGAGAGUAGAUAGGUUGAGAGUAGGGUCUUGGAAUAUAGGGACCCUUCAGGGUAAGUCAAUAGAAUUGGUGAAGAUUCUUAAGAGGAGGAAGAUUAAUAUUGUGUGUGUCCAGGAGACCAAGUGGGUAGGGUCUAAGGCUAGGGAUGUGGAUGGUUACAAGCUUUGGUACUCUGGAAGCGAGAGGCAUAGGAAUGAAAUUGGCAUCUUGGUAGAUGAAAAGCUUAAAGGGCAGGUAGUGGAGGUUAAGAGAAUUAGUGAUAGGCUGAUGACUAUUAAGUUGGUCUUAGGGGGGUUUACCCUGAAUGUAUGUAGUGUGUAUGCACCACAGGUGGGCUUGGAGGGGGAGAAGAAAAUAUGGUUUUGGGAGGUUUUGGAUGAGGUGGUGAGAAGCGUGCCUAGCUAAAAAAAGAUCGUUGUAGCAGGGGAUUUUAAUGGGCACAUCGGGGCGUUAUUGAGAGGCUUUGAUGAUGUGCAUGGUGGUUUUGGUUUUGGGGUGAGAAAUGAAGAGGGAGAUGCUCUAUUGGAUUUGGUGAGGUCCUUUAGGCUGGUGGUGGUGAAUUCGAGCUUUUCGAAGAAGGACGAUCACCUAAUCACCUUUUGAAACGCGAUAGCCAAGACCCAAAUUGACUUUUUGCUACUUAGGAAAGGGGAUAGGGUUUUGUGUAAGGACUGUAAGGUCUUUCUGAGUGAUAAUCUUUCGACCCAGCAUAAGCUCUUAGAGAUGGACUUGGGUAUUAGGAAGGAUAAAAAGAAUAGGGGUACGGAGGGUAGACCGAUAAUUAAGUAGGGUAGCUUGUCGUCGGUGAAUGCAUGGGAGAUAGAGGAGAAGUUGGAGGGCAUAGAGGUGUGAGAGGGUAGGGGAGACGUAGAUGGUAUGUGGGAUAGGGUGGCUAAGUGCAUCAGGGAGACUGCUACUGAGGUGUUGGGUGUGUCUAGGGGCAGGGCCAGUUAUUAUCGGGGGGAUUGGUGAUGGAAUAAAGAAGUUAAGAAGAAAGUGGAGACUAAGAAGGGGGUGUAUGCUAAGUUGGUUGAGAGUAAGGAUGUAGAAGAGAAGUGGGUAAAUAGAGAGAAGUAUAAGUUAGCAAGGAAGGGGGCUAAGCUAGCAAUUACAACUGCUAAGACGGCGGAGUUUAAGAGCUUGUAUGCGGGGUUAGAGGAGAAAAGAGGGGAAAAGAGGUUAUUUAGGCUGGCUAAGGCUAGGGAGAGGAAGAGUCAUGACCUCGAUCAGGUCAAGUACAUUAAGGGGAAGGAUGGUAGAGUGUUGAUGGAGGAUGUUCACAUUAAGAAAAAAUGGUAGUUGUAUUUUCAUAGGCUCUUGAAUGAUGAAGAGGAUAGAGUUAUGGUGUUAGGGGAGCUGGAGCAAUCAGAGGAGCAUCGUGAUUUCAGUUAUUGUAGACGUUUUAAGGUGGAGAAGGUCAGAGAGGCUAUUCGCAGGAUGCGAAGGGGUAGGGCGACGUGGCCUGAUGAGAUCCUUGUGGACUUUUAGAAGUUUGUUGGAGAGAAUGGUUUAAGGUGGUUGACUGAUGUGUUUAAUGAUAUUUUCAAGUUGGCGAAAAUGCACGACGCAUGGAGGUGGAGCAUUAUGAUCCCUCUGUAUAAGAAUAAGGGUGACAUUAAGUAUUACAAUAAUUAUCGGGGUAUUAAGUUAUUGAGUCACACUAUGAUAAUUUGAGAGAGAGUGGUUAAGUUGAGGUUGAGGAGGAUAGUCUCUAUUUCAGAGAACCAGUUUAGAUUAAUGCCCGGACGCUCGACGACGGAGAUAAUUCACCUGGUUUGGAGACUGGUGGAACAGUACAGAGAAAGAAAGAAGGAUCUGCACAUGGUGUUUAUCAACUUGGAGAAGGCAUACGACAAAGUCCCUUGGGAAGUUCUUUGGAGAUGCCUGGAGGUGAGUGGGGUCCCGGUGGCAUAUAUUAGAGAAAUCAAGGACAUGUAUGAUAGAGCUAAGACUCAGGUGAGGACGGCGGGUGGUGAUUCUAAACAUUUCCCUAUCCUGACAGGGUUACAUCAGGGGUCUACUCUUAGCCCAUUUUUUUUGCUUUGGUGAUGGAUGUGUUGACGCGGUGUAUUCAAGGUGAGGUGCCCUGGUGUAUGCUUUUUACAGAUGAUGUGGUUUUGAUUAAUAAGACUCGGGGGGGGGGGGGGGGGGGUGAAUGAUAAAUUAGAACUGUGGAGAGACCCUUGAGUCUAAAGGGUUCAGGUUAAGUAGGAGCAAGACCGAGUAUUUAGAAUGUAAGUUUGAUGGCUCGAGGGAGGGUGAUGACGUGGUAGUAAGGCUGGAGUCUCAGGUGGUGUAUAAGAGGGAUAGUUUUAAGUAUCUUGGGUCCAUGAUUCAAGGGAAUGGUGAGAUUGACGAAAAUGUCUCUCACUAUAUCAAGGUGGGAUAGAUGAAGUAGAAGCUCGCCUCGGGGGUGUUGUCUGAUAAGAAGGUGUCGCCCAAGAUUAAAGGCAAAUUUUACAGGGUAGCAGUCCGCCCGGCCAUGUUGUAUGGAGCAGAGUAUAGGCCAGUCAAGAACUCUCACAUUCAGAAAUUGAAGGUGGUGGAAAUACGGAUGUUGCGUUGGAUAUGUGGGCUUACUAGGGGCGAUAGAGUUUGGAAUGAGACUAUCCGAGAAAAGAUUGGAGUGGCUUCGGCGGAGGACUAGAUGUGAGAGGUUCAUUUGAGAUGGUUCGAACACGUGAUGAGGAGGGGUACGGAGGCACCGAUUUAUAGGUGUGAGAGGCUUGCUUUGGAUGGUUUCAGAUGGGGCAGGGGUAGGCCGAAGAAGUACAGGAGAGAGGUGAUUAGGUAGGACAUGAAGCAGUUACAGCUUACUGAAGACAUGACCGUAGAUAGGAAGAUCUGGAGGACGCGUAUUAGGAUGGAAGGUUAGUGCCAAUUUGGGUAGGUAUGGUAGGGCAUUACUUGGUGGGUGUAGUAUUCUUAUUAUGAUUUCUUGUUGCUUGUAGUAUUACGAUUGUUUACUAGUCUUUGUUUACUCUUUUCCUGUAUGUGGCGUCUCUAUGUUUUGUCUUGUUCUAGGUUUUUUGGUAUGACUUUGAUUACUAUUCCUUGUCGUGAGCUGGGGGUCUAUCAGAAACAGCCUUGCUACUUCCCUGGGAGUAAUGGUAUGGACUGCGUAUAUCUUAUCCUCCCCAGACCUUACUAUGUAGGAAUACACUGGGUUUGUUGUUGUUUGUUGUUUGUAUAAUAUAUCAGGGACUUGAUCAUGGGUAUGUAAGCUCGCAGUCUUCUUGUCUUAACUCGAAUGCAAUGGCAUUAGUUUAUCUUGCCCCAUUGAUCUGAUCAAUCUUCAGUUCCAGAUUAUCUUUAUUCCAGAAUUAGAAACUGCAUAUUAAGAGGCAACUUAGAUACCAGAGAGUUGAUAAAGGCAAUUUAGUUUGCACAAGAUGGUGCAUCUCUCUCUCGCUUUUUUUUUUGGAAAUAUGUGAAAUAUAACAUUCUUAGAACCUCAUCUUUGCUUCUUCAUAUAUUAAAAUGAAUUUGUCUAGGAUUAAUUUGUUUUUACAUAUGCCAUGAUUUUAUCUGAUAUUGAUGGUUUGCUUAAUCAUCAGAGAAGCAACUAUAGCGUUAAAAGCUAAAGAAUUGGAGUUGCAGAAACAACUAAGAUGAUUGCAGUCUCAAUAUGAUAUGCUCACUGGGCAGACUUCUACAUUGAUUUAGGGAAGAAGGGCUCGAGUUGUAGCAACUUCUAUUCUAAUAGAUAGCAGGCUACCACAGAUAAUAGCCUUUCAACAAGAAAUUUAGAGGAGUUACUUGAUUUAGGCGAAACAACAGGAACUGAAAGUCGAGGACUUGAUUAUUUUUUAGCCCUGUGAUGGAAGUUGGCAAUUUAAACUGAAAGCCGAUGACUUAAGCAGUAGAAACAGGAGUUACUUGAUUAUUUUUUUGCUAUGUAUUCAAAUGUUAUAGAAAAUUUGAUAUCAUACUCUUGCUCGAUCGGGAUGGUAACUAUGUUUUUUGUGAAACAAAUAUUGAAACUAAUAUCAUGGGAUGUUAACUAA